RNAcentral lists this long non-coding RNA (416 nucleotides) under Ananas comosus (pineapple). RNAcentral describes it as "long non-coding RNA (ACOM_LNC025529)". Lineage: Eukaryota; Viridiplantae; Streptophyta; Magnoliopsida; Poales; Bromeliaceae. The record is from RNAcentral.
AGGCAAAGGUAUAUAUGUGCAUGCAUUGAGUAUGUUAGAUGUGCCUCGAAAUUCUGAUUAUCGAAUUCAAUUUUGUGCUCCUGAUUCAUCGACAGUUUCGCGGUGCAACAAAUUCGGAAAGAAAUUUGUGAAGGAGUUGGCAGCGGAGGGCUCGGGCCGACAGGAAUUUCUUUCGUCUUUUGCCUAGAUGUGAUACAGCGUAUUGUACUCACAAAAAUUUUGAACUCCUUUUUUUUUGUAGUGAAGUUCUUAUUUCCACCUUCACCCGUAGUCUUUUCCCUGUAGAGAAUUUUUUAUAUAAAUCUUUGUGUUCUAUUUAUUUUACUGUUUCUAUGGUUUGUAUACGCGAUCGUUUUUUGUCGUUUUUAUUUGUGCGCUAGUUGUAACUGAAUAAAGAGACAAAGGAGAAGAGAGGG